GAUUAUGGCUCAGGAUGAACGCUAGCUACAGGCUUAACACAUGCAAGUCGAGGGGCAUCAUGAUCAAAGUUUGCUUGAUUGAUGGCGACCGGCGCACGGGUGAGUAACGCGUAUCCAACCUUCCCCCCAGUAGGGCAUAGCCCGGCGAAAGUCGGAUUAAUACCCUAUGUUUUCCAAUGAGGACAUCUGAGCUGGAACAAAGAUUUAUCGCUGGGGGAUGGGGAUGCGUCCGAUUAGGUUGUUGGCGGGGUAACGGCCCACCAAGCCCGCGAUCGGUAGGGGUUCUGAGAGGAAGGUCCCCCACACUGGUACUGAGACACGGACCAGACUCCUACGGGAGGCAGCAGUGAGGAAUAUUGGUCAAUGGGCGUAAGCCUGAACCAGCCAAGUAGCCGUGCAGGACGACGGCCCUAUGGGUUGUAAACUGCUUUUAUGCGGGGAUAAAGUGAGGUAUGUAUACCUUUUUGUAGGUACCGCAUGAAUAAGGACCGGCUAAUUCCGUGCCAGCCGCCGC
RNAcentral lists this ribosomal RNA (514 nucleotides) under uncultured bacterium. RNAcentral's name for it is "bacterial SSU rRNA". It matches the Rfam family "Bacterial small subunit ribosomal RNA", at positions 15 to 518 of the family's 1533-position model. The record is from RNAcentral.